UACAGAGGGGGCAAGCGUUGUUCGGAAUUACUGGGCGUAAAGGGCGCGUAGGCGGCCUGUUAAGUCGGACGUGAAAUCCCUCGGCUCAACCGGGGAACUGCGUCCGAUACUGGCGGGCUUGAAUUCGGGAGAGGGAUGUGGAAUUCCAGGUGUAGCGGUGAAAUGCGUAGAUAUCUGGAGGAACACCGGUGGCGAAGGCGGCAUCUUGGACCGACAUUGACGCUGAGGCGCGAAAGCCAGGGGAGCAAACGGG
RNAcentral lists this ribosomal RNA (253 nucleotides) under uncultured bacterium. RNAcentral describes it as "partial 16S ribosomal RNA". It matches the Rfam family "Bacterial small subunit ribosomal RNA", at positions 524 to 776 of the family's 1533-position model. The record is from RNAcentral.